Molecule: small RNA, 585 nt
Filed under: Pongo abelii (Sumatran orangutan)
Lineage: Eukaryota; Metazoa; Chordata; Mammalia; Primates; Hominidae
Description: processed transcript
Source: RNAcentral
UACAACAGCCACACCCUGCCUUUAAGAAGCUGACAGUCUAGGAGAGGAGAGGAGAUGUAAAGUGAAAUAUUCUCAGCCUAAGAAGGGAUGGGUUAAGAAUAUCACACGAGAGGCAGAAACAAGAUGCCUUAGAAAUUCAAAGAAGAAAGAUCAUUGUGGAGUUAGAGCAGUCAUCGACGUGAAAUCGUACGAGAGAGACUUGCACACCUACCCCUGUGGAGCGUGCACCCUAUAAGGGAGAAGUCGCCACACUGAAAUCCAGAGUGACAAAAGAAGAUGCCACAGCAGGGACCAGGAAACAGGCCCACCCCUGAAGUGUGAGCUGUUGCAGUGUUGCAGGGUAUAACCAGCUACGGAGCAGCAGUGGACCCAAUUCCACGGCACGCAGUGGAGGAGGCGUCACUGCAGAAAGUUAGGACCCCAGUUUGUAGAAGGGCCCAUACUGAGGCUGGGCAGAGACUCUGCCAACCAACAGAUUAAAGGGGAGAACGGUGAACUGGCCGGCACAGCACACAGUGGCUGUUCCACGUGUCAGCCCUGGACCCACUGUCUUGGGAGGAGAUGAUCCAAGGACCCCAGGGGCGC